RNAcentral lists this ribosomal RNA (447 nucleotides) under uncultured Megasphaera sp. RNAcentral's name for it is "bacterial SSU rRNA". It matches the Rfam family "Bacterial small subunit ribosomal RNA", at positions 355 to 794 of the family's 1533-position model. The record is from RNAcentral. Lineage: Bacteria; Bacillati; Bacillota; Negativicutes; Veillonellales; Veillonellaceae.
UGGGGAAUCUUCCGCAAUGGACGAAAGUCUGACGGAGCAACGCCGCGUGAACGAUGACGGCCUUCGGGUUGUAAAGUUCUGUUAUACGGGACGAAUGGCGUAGCGGUCAAUACCCGUUACGAGUGACGGUACCGUAAGAGAAAGCCACGGCUAACUACGUGCCAGCAGCCGCGGUAAUACGUAGGUGGCAAGCGUUGUCCGGAAUUAUUGGGCGUAAAGGGAGCGCAGGUGGGAAAGUAAGUCAGUCUUAAAAGUGCGGGGCUCAACCCCGUGAGGGGAUUGAAACUACUUUUCUUGAGUGCAGGAGAGGAAAGCGGAAUUCCUAGUGUAGCGGUGAAAUGCGUAGAUAUUAGGAGGAACACCAGUGGCGAAGGCGGCUUUCUGGACUGUAACUGACACUGAGGCUCGAAAGCCAGGGGAGCGAACGGGAUUAGAUACCCUGGUAGU